CCUACGGGGGGCAGCAGUGAGGAAUAUUGGUCAAUGGACGAGAGUCUGAACCAGCCAAGUAGCGUGAAGGAUGACUGCCCUAUGGGUUGUAAACUUCUUUUAUAUGGGAAUAAAAUGUUCCACGUGUGGGAUUUUGUAUGUACCAUAUGAAUAAGGAUCGGCUAACUCCGUGCCAGCAGCCGCGGUAAUACGGAGGAUCCGAGCGUUAUCCGGAUUUAUUGGGUUUAAGGGGAGCGUAGGUGGAUUGUUAAGUCAGUUGUGAAAGUUUGCGGCUCAACCGUAAAAUUGCAGUUGAAACUGGCAGUCUUGAGUACAGUAGAGGUGGGCGGAAUUCGUGGUGUAGCGGUGAAAUGCGUAGAUAUCACGAAGAACUCCGAUUGCGAAGGCAGUUCACUGGACUGCAACUGACACUGAGGCUCGAAAGUGUGGGUAUCAAACAGGAUUAGAUACCCGUGUAGUC
RNAcentral lists this ribosomal RNA (460 nucleotides) under uncultured bacterium. RNAcentral describes it as "partial 16S ribosomal RNA". It matches the Rfam family "Bacterial small subunit ribosomal RNA", at positions 338 to 795 of the family's 1533-position model. The record is from RNAcentral.